Molecule: transfer RNA, 69 nt
Filed under: Marmota monax (woodchuck)
Lineage: Eukaryota; Metazoa; Chordata; Mammalia; Rodentia; Sciuridae
Rfam family: tRNA
About the family: Transfer RNA (tRNA) molecules are approximately 80 nucleotides in length.
Source: Rfam by way of RNAcentral
GGGGCUGUGGCUCAAUGGUAGAGUGCUUGCCUAGCAUGCAUGAGGCACUGGGUUCGUUCCUCGGCACCA